UAACAGGAUUCCCCUAGUAACUGCGAGUGAAGCGGGAAAAGCUCAAAUUUAAAAUCUGGCAGCUUUGCUGUCCGAGUUGUAAUCUGGAGAAGCAUUUUCUGUGUCAGACCGUGUACAAGUCUCUUGGAAUAGAGCGUCAUAGAGGGUGAGAAUCCCGUCCAUGACACGGACCGCUGAUACUUUGUGAUAUGCUCUCGAAGAGUCGAGUUGUUUGGGAAUGCAGCUCAAAAUGGGUGGUAAAUUCCAUCUAAAGCUAAAUAUUGGCGAGAGACCGAUAGCGAACAAGUACCGUGAGGGAAAGAUGAAAAGCACUUUGGAAAGAGAGUUAAACAGUACGUGAAAUUGUUGAAAGGGAAACGCUUGAAGUCAGUCGCGUUGAUUAGAACUCAGCCUUGCUUGCAUGGUGUACUUUCUUUUCAAUGGGUCAACGUCAAUUUUGGUUGAUGGAUAAAGACUUAGGGAAUGUGGCACCUCCGGGUGUGUUAUAGCCCUUCGUUGCAUACACUGACUGGGAUUGAGGACUGCAGCACGCCUUUUUGGCCGGGGGUUUACCUCACGUAACGUGCUUAGGAUGUUGGCAUAAUGGCUUUAAGCGACCCGUGUUGAAACACGGACCAAGGAGUCUAACAUGCUUGCGAGUGUUAGGGUGGAAAACCCUUGCGCGUAAUGAAAGUGAAAGUUGGGACCUCUUCUGAGGGCACCGACGCCCGGCCCUGAAGUUUACUGACGGUGCUGCGGUAGAGCACGUAUGUUGGGACCCGAAAGAUGGUGAACUAUGCCUGAAUAGGGUGAAGCCAGGGGAAACUCUGGUGGAGGCUCGUAGCGAUUCUGACGUGCAAAUCGAUCGUCAAAUUUGGG
This 858-nucleotide ribosomal RNA is filed under the name Xylodon sp. RNAcentral describes it as "partial large subunit ribosomal RNA". It matches the Rfam family "Eukaryotic large subunit ribosomal RNA", at positions 66 to 915 of the family's 3401-position model. The record is from RNAcentral. Lineage: Eukaryota; Fungi; Basidiomycota; Agaricomycetes; Hymenochaetales; Schizoporaceae.